Zalophus californianus (California sea lion) is the source of this 3532-nucleotide RNA transcript. It is a transcript of the gene named glutamine amidotransferase-like class 1 domain-containing protein 3A, mitochondrial, with no coding region annotated. The record is from RefSeq and is a predicted model, not a curated record. The transcript is spliced from 7 exons. NCBI's taxonomy places the organism in Eukaryota, Metazoa, Chordata, Mammalia, Carnivora, Otariidae.
CUCCACCCCUUCCCCCCCAGAUGUUCUUCCUUGUUGGGAUCACCCGCUUCAGUGGGGGAGAAGAUUCUACAUUACCCUUCUUUGACCCUUCAUCCAGCUCAAGAAAACAAUGGGAUCAACCGCCCUGCUUCUGGUGAAGCUAUUUGCUCCUAAUGCUGAGCAGAUGUACAUUGUUAAUCACUUGAAAGAGAGCCCAGCAGGAGAGAAGAGAAAUGUGCUGGAGGAAAGUGCCAGGAGAGCCCAUGAGGACAUAGAAGAUUUGGCAGACCUGAACCCCAGCAAGCUUGAAGCUGUCAUUAUGCCGGUGGUGUUGGGGUGGCCCAGAGCCACCCCAUGAGCAGUUCGGUAAAGGACUCUUCUGUUGCAUUUCACACAUCCUGGCAGCUGACACCUUCAUGCUGUGAAGUCACAGUGGGUCAGGAAACUCAUGUGGAUGCAGGGGGAGGAAAGGGUGAAAAGCUUACUGCCUGGUUCUGUCUCGGCCCAGGAAGAACCGGAAGCUACGAAUUCUACCUCUGGAAGGUUCACAUUCCCACCAGGGGAGGAGUGAGGAAGCGCAGCUGGCCCCGAAUAGCCAUGGUGAUGGAUCUGUAGGAGAUGGUGGGCCCGACGAGAAUCAUAGUCUGACGUCUAGGAACCGGAUACUGUGAUUUGCCCCACCUAAAGGAACACGGUGAAGUGAUCAGCUUUGAACGACCCUGGAUGUGUUUCAAAGGCUGUGUGCCCUUUCACUUUUUUAACUGAUAAUGCUCUUCUUAUUGCCAGCAGCCGAGGCUAAAGAGAUUUAAGUGAACAUGUGGGACUUCUGCUUACCGGCAACUGACUCAGGGUACACACGUGUUUUGCCUCUUGUUGGUCCACUGUACCAUGGGCGCUGCAGGGAAACACCACAGUUGCCACUUGAGUUGGUACUCUUGCUGCCCUGUCCUCUUCAGGCCUGGUUCUUCAUCACUUCCAGGCUUAGGCUCCUGGGUUGGGCACAGAGAGGAAGUCACCAUCUUUGGAUUUUCAGGACAUCCGGAGUUUCCUUAGACUCCCUUUAUGCCGCCUUACCUCUGCCCACUGCUACCUAGACUCUUCCUCCCAGGUGUUGCCAGUGGCUGAACUAGUUCGGAAUAAAACUAAGCUAUUUUAUUAAUUGUUCACCUGAGUUGCAAAGUCUAGGAUGACAAGCCCUGAAACUGAAACUUCCAAACUGUCUAGAUUUUGGCUAAAUCCUUGAACCAGAGAGCAAAUUUAUCUUGGAAAUGACUGACUUCUGGGAAGAAGAGGGAACAGCAGAUGAAAUGCCAUUUACCUUGCCCAUUUUAGACACUACUGAUACUACUAGAGAGGUCAUCCAAGAGACAGAGUAAUAAAACUCUCAAGGUAAGCACAUUUAGCAAGGAACUGUUGGGAUUACAGAAGCGGGGUAGAGACAGGAACAGGAAGGUGGCAGUAGAAACUGAUGUUUAUGAUGUGCCCAUUAUGUGCCAGACACUGUAAAAUGCAGUGCUUUCUAUCGUAUUUAAUCUCACAAGAGUCCGGCAUUUUUGCUCUAUUUUAAGAUAAAGAGCUGAAGUUCAUGAUAUUUAAAUAAUUUUGCCCCAAAUCUUACAUUUUAAAUAACAAAGCCAGGAGAAGCGUACAGGUUCAUCCAACUCCAAAGUGUAUGAUUUUCUCAUAUACUUGAGGAAAAGAAACUUAUUUUCUAAACAUAAAUCAUAAUGGGCAAUAUCAGUUUAAAGUUUAGCAGAGUUUGAGGCCAUUUCCUUACUGUGAAAUAUCAUGCAUAUUUCCGCAGUAACUGGAAAGCAAAUUAGGGAAACGUCCCUCCCCUCACUUAAUUAUAUCAAACAAAUGAUCUUACAAUUACAUAAGAAGUCGCCCAUUACAGUCUAGCCAGUGGCUUGGCUUCUUGUCCAAACCUCACAGUGAAAAAUGCAGACUUUCUGGAACCACAUAUUAAAAUCUCUGCGGUUGAAUCAGCCCUUCUUCCUUCUGCAAAACCUAACCUCAAUACUAUUCAGCAUAUAGAGAACUCCGGGGAUGAGAUCCUUAAAGCCCCGUGUCAAAAGGUGAACACCUGAUAAUCAUCAUCUUGGUUUCAUGCUCGUGAAAACUGGUUUUGUCCUAAUUUAUUCUCAGACACGUGGGUCUGUCCUGCAGUGAGGUGCCUAGUUUUAUAGGCUUGUAAAGAGAUUGACCCCACAUUUGGCAUACGUAUACAGUAACGCAAUGAUGUUCUUGUCUAAACUGGCUCUGAAGAAAAUUCCUAACAGAUAUGCCAAAAAUGGUGAGCGAUUCUGACAUUUCCCAAAUAAGCAUAUAGUCUCCAAGAUGAUUAUUUUGAAUGACAAUCCUCAUGUGGGGCGUGAAAUUGAGUAGAUUUGACAGGGCUGCUGAAAAGCUGGAAGAGCACUGAAUGUCGAGUCACAAAGCCUCUGUUGGCAUCCCUGCCCUGCAUCCAGCUCCCUGAGAGGCACCGUUUGCAUUCUGUUGCUGCGUGAGGGGCAGGGGAAGUCAUCUAACCUUUCUGAGCUUCCUUCCGCAUUUGGGACACUGUUGAAUGACACUUGCCGACACUGUGGUAAUAAUCAAGUGAAGCUGACAGUACGAAAGCCCUCAAAACAGUGGGGCACUGGAAUAGAAUGUGGUAACUCACUCAUCGUUAACCUCCUGGUGAAGUCCCACAGUCUGAAACCAAGGCCUUCAAGUUCUUAGGAAACACCAGUGGUGUUAAUAAUUAGCCUUGGUGAGAAAUCCCAGAGUCACCCGUGUGUGUGAGGUCCAGUUACUUCUGUGCUCGGUUUGAUAUGUAAAGCCACCGGUAGAAUCCAUUUGUUCAAUUUCACAAGCCCCAGAAGACCAGUGGAUACUGCUUGCUCUGGAAUGCGAGAGCCUGGAUCUCAGCACUUUUCACCAACUCACUUUAUCCUUGUCUAGAGUAAUGAGAUCAGAGUAAACAUACUAAGAAGCUGAUGCCUAGCAAACCUUUAUGGUAUUUUCAAAGGCCACGAAUGAAAUCUUAUUUAUCACGUGUGGGACCGGGUUGGGCGAAGAGUAGGGCAAUAGUGGGUCUAUUCUGUCUGCGGGGUCAAACAUGUCCUUGGAGAUGCCUCCUGGAGGCAAGACUGUGCUAUCCACAGAAGGCAGAAGUGAGAGCCAAGGAUUUCACUCUUUCCUAAUCCUAGUUCUUUCACAGCAACUAUUUGGAGUUUUCAGUCACCAGUCCAGGAGCUCACAAGCACAGGGACACUAGAGCACCAUUUCUGCCCGUGGCAGGGAUAAACAGCUGCAUUAUGUUGGUCAAGUUACCUAACCUCCCUUUGCCUUGGGUACCUCAUCAGUAAAGUGGGGAAAAUAAUAGAACCGAUUUCCUUCAUAUAUGUAGAGCUUUUGUAGAAGUGAGAAGCUAGAAAAGACAGCAUUUAAAAGCAUCAAUUCUGGGGCGCCUGGGUGGCUCAGUUGGUUAAGCAUGUGCCUUCGGCUCAGGUCAUGGUGCUGGAGUCCCGGAAUCAAGUCCUGCUUUGGGGCUCCCUGCUCAGCAGGG